GCACCCGCGGUAAUUCCAGCUCCAAUAGCGUAUAUUAAAGUUGUUGCAGUUAAAAAGCUCGUAGUUGGAUUUCUGCCGAGGACGACCGGUCCGCCCUCUGGGUGCGUAUCUGGCUCGGCUUGGGCAUCUUCUUGGAGAACGUAUCUGCACUUGACUGUGUGGUGCGGUAUCCAGGACUUUUACUUUGAGGAGAUUAGAGUGUUUCAAGCAGGCACACGCCUUGAAUACAUUAGCAUGGAAUAAUAAGAUAGGACCUCGGUUCUAUUUUGUUGGUUUCUAGAGCUGAGGUAAUGAUUAAUAGGGAUAGUUGGGGGCAUUCGUAUUUAACUGUCAGAGGUGAAAUUCUUGGAUUUGUUAAAGACGGACCACUGCGAAAGCAUUUGCCAAGGAUGUUUUCAUUAAUCAAGAACGAAAGU
Molecule: ribosomal RNA, 416 nt
Filed under: uncultured eukaryote
Lineage: Eukaryota
Description: SSU rRNA
Rfam family: Eukaryotic small subunit ribosomal RNA
Source: RNAcentral